Molecule: ribosomal RNA, 503 nt
Filed under: uncultured bacterium
Lineage: Bacteria
Description: partial 16S ribosomal RNA
Rfam family: Bacterial small subunit ribosomal RNA
Source: RNAcentral
AUUGAACGCUGGCGGCAGGCUUAACACAUGCAAGUCGAGCGGGGUGAUGGUGCUUGCACUAUCACUUAGCGGCGGACGGGUGAGUAAUGCUUAGGAAUCUGCCUAUUAGUGGGGGACAACAUCUCGAAAGGGAUGCUAAUACCGAAUACGACCUACGGGAGAAAGCAGGGGAUCACUUGUGACCUUGCGCUACUAGAUGAGUCUAAGUCGUAUUAGCUAGUUGGUGGGGUAAAGGCCUACCAAGGCGACGAUCUGUAGCGGGUCCGAGAGGAUGAUCCUCCUCACUGGGACUGAGACACGGCCCAGACUCCUACGGGAGGCAGCAGUGGGGAAUAUUGGACAAUGGGGGGAACCCUGAUCCAGCCAUGCCGCGUGUGUGAAGAAGGCCUUAUGGUUGUAAAGCACUUUAAGCGAGGAGGAGGCUCUUUUGGUUAAUACCCAAGAUGAGUGGACGUUACUCGCAGAAUAAGCACCGGCUAACUCUGUGCCAGCAGCCGCGGUAA